This 464-nucleotide ribosomal RNA is filed under the name Vreelandella stevensii. RNAcentral describes it as "partial 16S ribosomal RNA". It matches the Rfam family "Bacterial small subunit ribosomal RNA", at positions 338 to 795 of the family's 1533-position model. The record is from RNAcentral. Lineage: Bacteria; Pseudomonadati; Pseudomonadota; Gammaproteobacteria; Oceanospirillales; Halomonadaceae.
CCUACGGACUCUGCAGUGGGGAAUAUUGGACAAUGGGCGAAAGCCUGAUCCAGCCAUGCCGCGUGUGUGAAGAAGGCCUUCGGGUUGUAAAGCACUUUCAGUGGGGAAGAAAGCCUUGGGGCUAAUACCCUCGAGGAAGGACAUCACCCACAGAAGAAGCACCGGCUAACUCCGUGCCAGCAGCCGCGGUAAUACGGAGGGUGCGAGCGUUAAUCGGAAUUACUGGGCGUAAAGCGCGCGUAGGCGGUCUGAUAAGCCGGUUGUGAAAGCCCCGGGCUCAACCUGGGAACGGCAUCCGGAACUGUCAGGCUAGAGUGCAGGAGAGGAAGGUAGAAUUCCCGGUGUAGCGGUGAAAUGCGUAGAGAUCGGGAGGAAUACCAGUGGCGAAGGCGGCCUUCUGGACUGACACUGACGCUGAGGUGCGAAAGCGUGGGUAGCAAACAGGAUUAGAUACCCCUGUAGUC